CGAAGAACCUACCCCAGGCUUGAAGUGCGAGUGAAUAUCGGUGAAAGCCGACUUUCCGGCAAGGACACUAGUAGAGGUGCUGCAUGGCUGUCGUCACCUCGUGUCGUGAGAUGUUGGGUUAAGUCCCGCAACGAGCGCAACCCUUGUCUGCUGUUGCCAUCAGUUCGGCUGGGCACUCUGCGGAGGAUGCCGGUGAUAAACCGGAGGAAGGUGGGGAUGACGUCAAGUCAGCAUGGCCUUUAUGUCUGGGGCUACACACGUGCUACAAUGGCCGGUACAGAGCGUUGCCAACCCGCGAGGGUGAGCUAAUCGCAUAAAGCCGGUCUCAGUUCGGAUUGUAGGCUGCAACUCGCCUGCAUGAAGCUGGAAUCGCUAGUAAUCGCGGAUCAGCAUGCCGCGGUGAAUACGUUCCCGGGCCUUGUACACACCGCCCGUCACAUCACGAAAGCUGGCUGUACUAGAAGUUCGCCGAGCUAACCCGCAAGGG
RNAcentral lists this ribosomal RNA (487 nucleotides) under uncultured Holophaga sp. Its description in RNAcentral is "bacterial SSU rRNA". It matches the Rfam family "Bacterial small subunit ribosomal RNA", at positions 962 to 1446 of the family's 1533-position model. Lineage: Bacteria; Pseudomonadati; Acidobacteriota; Holophagae; Holophagales; Holophagaceae. The record is from RNAcentral.